This is a long non-coding RNA of Vicia villosa (hairy vetch), 432 nucleotides long. RefSeq lists it as uncharacterized. The record is from RefSeq and is a predicted model, not a curated record. The transcript has 2 exons. Lineage: Eukaryota; Viridiplantae; Streptophyta; Magnoliopsida; Fabales; Fabaceae.
UCUUCGAUUUGCACAUAUGGUUCACGUUCAUAGCUUCUGUUUUGAAGGAGAAAAGCGAGCUCGAAGUUGUGUCAGUUAUGCUGAAUGUGUGAAUGGAGGGAUACGGGUUUGAUGAGUUUGGAGUUGGAGUUUUGGUCAAGUUAGGAGCUCAAUUGCAGCAUGUUCAUCAUCCAAAGCUCCAUUGAUGCAAGGUGCAGUUUAGUAGCGUUUGGUCAGUAGCAGGUUUGGACUGAAGACUUGGAAGUGAUGACGGCUCGGAGACCUCGUCUAAUCUCAUCUUUCCGCUGUGCAGAUCCAUUGAAGACACAUGUUUUGUAAUUCUUCAUAGGAUUUCAUGUUGUAUUUUAUAUGGAUCUUUCUAUAACUAUGGCUUUUGUAUGUACUCAAUAUCAAUUUUAACGUUUCAUGCAUAAUAUACUAGUCAGUUAUGUA